This 253-nucleotide ribosomal RNA is filed under the name uncultured bacterium. RNAcentral's name for it is "partial 16S ribosomal RNA". It matches the Rfam family "Bacterial small subunit ribosomal RNA", at positions 524 to 776 of the family's 1533-position model. The record is from RNAcentral.
CACGUAGGGUGCGAGCGUUGUCCGGAAUUACUGGGCGUAAAGUGUGCGCAGGCGGCCGCGCAAGUCGAGUGUGAAAGCCCCGAGCUUAACUUGGGAAUUGCGCUCGAAACUACGUGGCUGGAGUGUGGCAGAGGAAGGUGGAAUUCCAGGUGUAGCGGUGAAAUGCGUAGAGAUCUGGAGGAACACCGAUGGCGAAGGCAGCCUUCUGGGCCAACACUGACGCUCAUGCACGAAAGCGUGGGGAGCAAACAGG